CCUUAGCAGGUAUUGUGGGUCAAAUUCGACCCAGAAGCGAACAUUUUCGGUAAUUAUUUUUUUAAUAUUUAUGCUACGACUGCGCGCUUCUACGUAUUCUCAGUGCGUCGCUAGCUGCGGCGGGGGGCGGAAGUGCAGCGCUGCAACUAUCUUAGGAGCGGAGUGAAUAUUUCUACUACAAUGGGGGGCUUUUUGAGAUGAACGACUCAAAUGAUGAUUUGGAACCGGAAAAUCGGAAAGGACACCAAAUAUAAAUCAAGUUUCAGUCAUCAGUCCCAGUUUGAAGAACCAGUUGCAACGACCUCUUCUGCAGCUUCAAUUUCAAGUCGGAAAAGAGCCCGAUGCUACCUAUGCGAUUGGAAAAAUGACCGAAAACAUUCUCAAAAAUGUUCUAAAUGUUUACAUAUUAUUUGUAAGACACAUUCCUUCCAAAAUGUUCAGUGUUCUAGAGUUGUCAGAAAGUAUAAAGACUAAUCUUGUUAGUUUGGAAAAAGUCGUUUUGAUUUUGGUUGUCAUUUUUUUUAUUUUAUGCUGAUCUCAGAAGCAAUUUAUUUUUUUGUUAUCAUAAGGAUAUAAAAAGUGCCAUACAUAUCUUUUAGUUAAAGUUUUUCAUACAUUUCUAUUUUUUUUUUAUGUUUUAAGUUCACACUAACCAGAAAGUGCCAAAAAAUUUGGUUAGUUACAAAUGUGUGUAAAAUAUAAUAAUUUUUUAAUAUUCUAAAAUUAAACCAAGAUAAUUUUGUAAAAAA
Molecule: long non-coding RNA, 749 nt
Organism: Helicoverpa zea (corn earworm)
Lineage: Eukaryota; Metazoa; Arthropoda; Insecta; Lepidoptera; Noctuidae
Exons: 2
Source: RefSeq, a predicted model, not a curated record